UUCACCAACCGACCACUCAGAUAUGGACACCAUUAUUUCAUCUGUUCAGGAAGAAGCCAAGCAAGCAAUAAAAGUUGAUGAUCCUGUAAUUGAAAGGACAGAAACAACUUUUAGUAGGUUCCCCAACCGACCACUCAAACGGAGUUUAUGGUGGUAGUCAAACGGAGUUUUCGGAUGCAUCUAAAACUGAGGAAGCGAGGGAAGAUGUGCAUGUGGUGUCAUUGGCAAAAGAUUUACCUGCAUCAGACAACCCUGAACUCUUGCUUAAAGACUUCAAAGACUACAAUAAGUCCAAAUCUACUUUGCCAUUGGAUCUUGGCUCUUCUGAACCUGAACCUCUUUCUACUGAUGGCGACCCUUCAAAGAAUUCGCUUCCUUCAGGUUCCCCAACCGACCACUCAAACGGAGUUUAUGGUGGUAGUCAAACGGAGUUUUCUGAUGCAUCUAAAACUGAGGAACCGAGGGAAGAUGUGCAUGUGGUGUCGUUGGCAAAAGAUUUACCUGCAUCAGACAACCCUGAACUCUUGCUUAAAGACUUCAAAGACUACAAUAAGCUCAAAUCUACUUUGCCAUUGGAUCUUGGCUCUUCUGAACCUGAACCUCUUUCUACUGAUGGCGACCCUUCAAAGAAUUCGCUUCCUUCAGGUUCCCCAACCGACCACUCAGAUAUGGACACCAUUAUUUCAUCUGUUCAGGAAGAAGCCAAGCAAGCAAUAAAAGUUGAUGAUCCUGUAAUUGAAUAAACGGAGUUUAUGGUGGUAGGCAAACGGAGUUUUCUGAAUCAUCUAAAACUGAGGAACCGAGGGAAGAUGUGCAUGUGGUGUCGUUGGCAAAAGAUUUACCUGCAUCAGACAACCCUGAACUCUUGCUUAAAGACUUCAAAGACUACAAUAAGCUCAAAUCUACUUUGCCAUUGGAUCUUGGCUCUUCUGAACCUGAACCUCUUUCUACUGAUGGCGACCCUUCAAAGAAUUCGCUUCCUUCAGGUUCCCCAACCGACCACUCA
RNAcentral lists this long non-coding RNA (1006 nucleotides) under Nicotiana benthamiana. Its description in RNAcentral is "long non-coding RNA (NBEN_LNC026932)". Lineage: Eukaryota; Viridiplantae; Streptophyta; Magnoliopsida; Solanales; Solanaceae. The record is from RNAcentral.